This 440-nucleotide ribosomal RNA is filed under the name uncultured bacterium. Its description in RNAcentral is "partial 16S ribosomal RNA". It matches the Rfam family "Bacterial small subunit ribosomal RNA", at positions 339 to 795 of the family's 1533-position model. The record is from RNAcentral.
CUACGGGACGCUCCAGUGGGGAAUCUUAGACAAUGGGCGCAAGCCUGAUCUAGCCAUGCCGCGUGAGUGAUGAAGGCCUUAGGGUCGUAAAGCUCUUUCGCUGGGGAAGAUAAUGACGGUACCCAGUAAAGAAACCCCGGCUAACUCCGUGCCAGCAGGCCGCGGUAAUACGGAGGGGGUUAGCGUUGUUCGGAAUUACUGGGCGUAAAGCGCGCGUAGGCGGACUGUUAAGUCGGGGGUGAAAUCCCGGGGCUCAACCCCGGAACGGCCUUCGAUACUGGCAGUCUGGAGUUCGAGAGAGGUGAGUGGAAUUCCGAGUGUAGAGGUGAAAUUCGUAGAUAUUCGGAGGAACACCAGUGGCGAAGGCGGCUCACUGGCUCGAUACUGACGCUGAGGUGCGAAAGUGUGGGGAGCAAACAGGAUUAGAUACCCCAGUAGUC